RNAcentral lists this ribosomal RNA (301 nucleotides) under uncultured bacterium. RNAcentral describes it as "partial 16S ribosomal RNA". It matches the Rfam family "Bacterial small subunit ribosomal RNA", at positions 509 to 809 of the family's 1533-position model. The record is from RNAcentral.
CAGCAGCCGCGGUAAUACGUAGGUGGCAAGCGUUGUCCGGAAUUAUUGGGCGUAAAGGGCUCGCAGGCGGUUUCUUAAGUCUGAUGUGAAAGCCCCCGGCUCAACCGGGGUGGGUCAUUGGAAACUGGGAAACUUGAGUGCAGAAGAGGAGAGUGGAAUUCCACGUGUAGCGGUGAAAUGCGUAGAGAUGUGGAGGAACACCAGUGGCGAAGGCGACUCUCUGGUCUGUAACUGACGCUGAGGAGCGAAAGCGUGGGGAGCGAACAGGAUUAGAGACCCCUGUAGUCCCUGUCUCUUAUAU